ACUGUGGGCUUGCAGCUGAUACGGGCAGGCUUGAGUUCGGUAGGGGAGACUGGAAUUCCUGGUGUAGCGGUGAAAUGCGCAGAUAUCAGGAGGAACACCGGUGGCGAAGGCGGGUCUCUGGGCCGAUACUGACGCUGAGGAGCGAAAGCGUGGGGAGCGAACAGGAUUAGAUACCCUGGUAGUCCACGCUGUAAACGUUGGGCGCUAGGUGUGGGGGGCCUCUCCGGUUCUCUGUGCCGCAGCUAACGCAUUAAGCGCCCCGCCUGGGGAGUACGGCCGCAAGGCUAAAACUCAAAGGAAUAGACGGGGGCCCGCACAAGCGGCGGAGCAUGCGGAUUAAUUCGAUGCAACGCGAAGAACCUUACCUGGGUUUGACAUGUGCGCUAAAGCCGUAGAGAUAUGGUGUCCUUCGGGGGCGUUCACAGGUGGUGCAUGGCUGUCGUCAGCUCGUGUCGUGAGAUGU
This 463-nucleotide ribosomal RNA is filed under the name uncultured actinomycete. Its description in RNAcentral is "bacterial SSU rRNA". It matches the Rfam family "Bacterial small subunit ribosomal RNA", at positions 612 to 1075 of the family's 1533-position model. The record is from RNAcentral. Lineage: Bacteria; Bacillati; Actinomycetota; Actinomycetes; Actinomycetales.